RNAcentral lists this unclassified non-coding RNA (392 nucleotides) under soil metagenome. Its description in RNAcentral is "partial contains 5.8S ribosomal RNA, internal transcribed spacer 2, and large subunit ribosomal RNA". The stretch from base 1 to 122 matches the Rfam family "5.8S ribosomal RNA", at positions 35 to 154 of the family's 154-position model. The record is from RNAcentral.
GAUGAAGAACGUAGCGAAAUGCGAUACUUGGUGUGAAUUGCAGAAUCCCGUGAACCAUCGAGUCUUUGAACGCAAGUUGCGCCCGAAGCCAUCAGGUUGAGGGCACGUCUGCCUGGGCGUCACAUAUCGUUGCUCGAUGCCUAUCGCAUUGCGAUAGGACUUAGGGCGAAUGAUGGCUUCCCGUGAGCGUUGUUGCCUCGCGGUUGGUUGAAAAUCGAGUCCUUGGUAGGGUGUGCCAUGAUAGAUGGUGGUCGAGUUAGCACGAUACCGAUCAUGUGCAUGCUCCCCAAAAUAUGGCCUCUGUGACCCACACGCGUCUUUUGACGCUCAUGACGAGACCUCAGGUCAGGCGGGGCUACCCGCUGAAUUUAAGCAUAUCAAUAAGCGGAGGA